RNAcentral lists this transfer RNA (86 nucleotides) under Paracoccaceae bacterium. RNAcentral's name for it is "tRNA-Leu". It matches the Rfam family "tRNA". Rfam says of the family: Transfer RNA (tRNA) molecules are approximately 80 nucleotides in length. RNAcentral also lists the same sequence under 2 other names. Lineage: Bacteria; Pseudomonadati; Pseudomonadota; Alphaproteobacteria; Rhodobacterales; Paracoccaceae. The record is from RNAcentral.
GCCGAAGUGGUGGAAUUGGUAGACACGCCAUCUUGAGGGGGUGGUGAGCAUAGCUUGUGCGGGUUCAAGUCCCGCCUUCGGCACCA